RNAcentral lists this unclassified non-coding RNA (225 nucleotides) under uncultured fungus. Its description in RNAcentral is "sequence contains ITS1". The record is from RNAcentral. Lineage: Eukaryota; Fungi.
GUGUAUUAUCAAAGAAGAUUCAACAUUCAAAUGACAUUCCAUGGAGCAAAUGACUAAAAACAUAGGUUUGGAACACAGGCCAAAACCUACAGAGGGUGCACAUGGUUUGUAAAAGGUGGUCAAAAGAAUAUUCGAAGAGUGCACCUGCCCAUCUCGAAAGACAAGGCCAGCAACAUCCUCAAAGUUUAUUCAUUAAUGAUCCUUCCGCAGGUUCACCUACGGAAA